GUUUAUGAUGAGAAAACGUCCUUAGUGACAAUGCUAUAAACCCAGCUCUUCGAUUCUUUUGUUUUCAAAAGAGUGUGAGAGGAAUCUUUUGUCAAACGCUCUGAUA
Molecule: small nucleolar RNA, 106 nt
Filed under: Huiozyma naganishii CBS 8797
Lineage: Eukaryota; Fungi; Ascomycota; Saccharomycetes; Saccharomycetales; Saccharomycetaceae
Source: RNAcentral